RNAcentral lists this ribosomal RNA (257 nucleotides) under uncultured bacterium. RNAcentral's name for it is "partial 16S ribosomal RNA". It matches the Rfam family "Bacterial small subunit ribosomal RNA", at positions 524 to 776 of the family's 1533-position model. The record is from RNAcentral.
UACGAAGGGGGCUAGCGUUGUUCGGAAUUACUGGGCGUAAAGCGCGCGCAGGCGGUUCUCCAAGUCAGUGGUGAAAGCCCCGGAGCUCAACUCCGGAACUGCCAUUGAAAACUGUUGAACUUGAGGACGAGAGAGGUGAGUGGAAUUCCCCAGUGUAGAGGUGAAAAUUCGUAGAUAUUGGGAAGAACACCAGUGGCGAAGGCGGCUCACUGGCUCGUAUCUGACGCUCAGGCGCGAUAGCGUGGGGAUCAAACAGG